RNAcentral lists this transfer RNA (72 nucleotides) under Gossypium hirsutum (cotton). It matches the Rfam family "tRNA". Rfam says of the family: Transfer RNA (tRNA) molecules are approximately 80 nucleotides in length. Their secondary structure includes four short double-helical elements and three loops (D, anti-codon, and T loops). Lineage: Eukaryota; Viridiplantae; Streptophyta; Magnoliopsida; Malvales; Malvaceae. The record is from Rfam by way of RNAcentral.
GGCGACAUGCCCGAGCGGUAAGGCAGGGGACUACAAAUCCCUUAUUCCCCAGUUCAAAUCCGGGUGUCGCCU